This is a long non-coding RNA of Passer domesticus (house sparrow), 245 nucleotides long. RefSeq lists it as uncharacterized. Lineage: Eukaryota; Metazoa; Chordata; Aves; Passeriformes; Passeridae. The record is from RefSeq and is a predicted model, not a curated record. The transcript is spliced from 3 exons.
GAGAAAUGUCAAGGAAACACUUUAUGAUCCUCUGCAGUGACAUCAACAGAAUAGUUUGAAAUGAAAGGUGCUCAAUGGCUAAAGUUUCAGAUGCCAAGGCUCCCAAGCCAUAUGUCCCUGCAGAGGCUGGUGCACAUCAAGCCACUUUUACAGCUGAGAGGUGGACUUUAGCCCAGUAACUUACCUCAUUUUGGAAAACUGGGGGCAAUGCAUCAAUUCAGAGGUCAACAUCUCCAGUCAUAAUC